This 460-nucleotide ribosomal RNA is filed under the name uncultured bacterium. RNAcentral's name for it is "partial 16S ribosomal RNA". It matches the Rfam family "Bacterial small subunit ribosomal RNA", at positions 338 to 795 of the family's 1533-position model. The record is from RNAcentral.
CCUACGGGUGGCAGCAGUGAGGAAUAUUGGUCAAUGGACGAGAGUCUGAACCAGCAAAGUAGCGUGAAGGAUGACUGCUCUAUGGGUUGUAAACCUCUUUUAUAAAGGAAUAAAACGAGGCACGUGUGCCUUUUUGCAUGUCCUUUAUGAAUAAGGAUCGGCUAACUCCGUGCCAGCAGCAGCGGUAAUACGGAGGAUCCGAGCGUUAUGCGGAUUUAUUGGGUGUAAUGGGAGCGUAGAUGGGUUGUUAAGUCAGUUGUGAAAGUUUGCGGCUUAACCGUAAAAUUGCAAUUGAUACUGGCAGUCUUGAGUACAGUUGAGGUAGGCGGAAUUCGUGGUGUAGCGGUGAAAUGCGUAGAGAUCACGAAGAACCCCGAUUGCGAAGGCAGCUUACUAGACUGUUACUGACACUGAUGCUCGAAAGUGUGGGUAGCAAACAGGAUUAGAUACCCGUGUAGUC